GUCUUCGUGGUGCAGUGGAUAACACGCUCGACCCGUAACCGAGAGGUCCGUGGUUCGAUUCCCGGAGAAGGCG
This 73-nucleotide transfer RNA is filed under the name Stegodyphus mimosarum. It matches the Rfam family "tRNA". Rfam says of the family: Transfer RNA (tRNA) molecules are approximately 80 nucleotides in length. Their secondary structure includes four short double-helical elements and three loops (D, anti-codon, and T loops). Lineage: Eukaryota; Metazoa; Arthropoda; Arachnida; Araneae; Eresidae. The record is from Rfam by way of RNAcentral.